RNAcentral lists this ribosomal RNA (433 nucleotides) under uncultured bacterium. Its description in RNAcentral is "partial 16S ribosomal RNA". It matches the Rfam family "Bacterial small subunit ribosomal RNA", at positions 29 to 507 of the family's 1533-position model. The record is from RNAcentral.
AACGAACGCUGGCGGCAUGCCUAACACAUUCAAGUCGAACGAAGGCUUCGGCCUUAGUGGCGCACGGGUGCGUAACGCGUGGGAAUCUGCCCUUUGGUUCGGAAUAACAGCUGGAAACGGCUGCUAAUACCGGAUGAUUACGAAAAUCCAAAGAUUUAUCGCCAGAGGAUGAGCCCGCGUUGGAUUAGGUAGUUGGUGGGGUAAAGGCCUACCAAGCCGACGAUCCAUAGCUGGUCUGAGAGGAUGAUCAGCCACACUGGGACUGAGACACGGCCCAGACUCCUACGGGAGGCAGCAGUGGGGAAUAUUGGACAAUGGGCGCAAGCCUGAUCCAGCAAUGCCGCGUGAGUGAUGAAGGCCCUGGGGUUGUAAAGCUCUUUUACCCGGGAAGAUAAUGACUGUACCGGGAGAAUAAGCCCCGGCUAACUCCGUG